AGAAGUUUAGGAUAGACAGACCGAAGGCCUUCAAAGCCUUAAGCGGGAGUGAAACCCUCCCAACCUCUG
RNAcentral lists this transfer RNA (69 nucleotides) under Strophidon sathete (slender giant moray). RNAcentral's name for it is "tRNA-Trp". It matches the Rfam family "tRNA". Rfam says of the family: Transfer RNA (tRNA) molecules are approximately 80 nucleotides in length. Their secondary structure includes four short double-helical elements and three loops (D, anti-codon, and T loops). Further hydrogen bonds mediate the characteristic L-shaped molecular structure. tRNAs have two regions of fundamental functional importance: the anti-codon, which is responsible for specific mRNA codon recognition, and the 3' end, to which the tRNAs corresponding amino acid is attached (by aminoacyl-tRNA synthetases). tRNAs cope with the degeneracy of the genetic code in two manners: having more than one tRNA (with a specific anti-codon) for a particular amino acid; and 'wobble' base-pairing, i.e. permitting non-standard base-pairing at the 3rd anti-codon position. The record is from RNAcentral. Lineage: Eukaryota; Metazoa; Chordata; Actinopteri; Anguilliformes; Muraenidae.